Xenia sp. Carnegie-2017 is the source of this 482-nucleotide long non-coding RNA. RefSeq lists it as uncharacterized. The transcript has 2 exons. NCBI's taxonomy places the organism in Eukaryota, Metazoa, Cnidaria, Anthozoa, Malacalcyonacea, Xeniidae. The record is from RefSeq and is a predicted model, not a curated record.
UGAUUCCGAUAGCUGUAAAAUAUCGACGUUAGUGUUGGUUUAAAAGUUGUAAAUGCGAGAAUGUAUUUUGUCCCAUCGUUGCCAAUGCACGAUAGUUCACUGCUCGCUUUCCAAUUUCUGAGGCAGUUAUGAUCUAGUAUACGUUUCAGUUCUUUAGAAAUGAGCCAUGAAUACUGCUUCUCAGCAACAGUUAAUUGUCUACAGCUGUAAAUUGGUCAACUGUUGGAUUGUUAAAGUCACACUUUACAAGUGGAAUAAAGCUCUUGUCUUUCUUAUUACUACAAGACUCAAGACUGAUGAUGAAACUGUUGCUGAAAAGGAUUGUAAUGUCAACUGCAAUUCAUAUUCAUACCAUCCCUAACUACAUUCAUAUCUUAAGAAUAAUUUUAAUGUUUUUGGAAAAAUAUUUAAAUCAUUAAUAUUACAUUCAUACUAACUUCUGGAAUUUGCUUAGCACUUAGAAGAGGAAAGUAAAAUUUAGA